Molecule: ribosomal RNA, 878 nt
Filed under: uncultured eukaryote
Lineage: Eukaryota
Description: SSU rRNA
Rfam family: Eukaryotic small subunit ribosomal RNA
Source: RNAcentral
CGGUGUUCAACUGGCGUGUCCGCGGGACGUCCUGCCGGUGGGCUUAGCCCGCAAGGGCGGCCCAACUUCAAAUCCCAUCGCGGUGCUCUUCACUGAGUGUCGAGGUGGGCCGGCACGUUUACUUUGAACAAAUUAGAGUGCUUAAAGCAGGCUAAAACUUCGCCUGAAUACUGUGUGCAUGGAAUAAUGGAAUAGGACCUCGGUUCUAUUUUGUUGGUUUUCGGAACCCCGAGGUAAUGAUUAAUAGGAACGGAUGGGGGCAUUCGUAUUGCGACGUUAGAGGUGAAAUUCUUGGAUCGUCGCAAGACGGACAGAAGCGAAAGCAUUUGCCAAAAACGCUUUCAUUGAUCAAGAACGAAAGUUAGAGGUUCGAAGGCGAUCAGAUACCGCCCUAGUUCUAACCAUAAACGAUGCCAGCUAGCGAUCCGUCGACGUUCCUCCGAUGACUCGACGGGCAGCUUCCGGGAAACCAAAGCUUUUGGGUUCCGGGGGAAGUAUGGUUGCAAAGCUGAAACUUAAAGGAAUUGACGGAAGGGCACCACCAGGAGUGGAGCCUGCGGGCUUAAUUUGACUCAACACGGGAAACCUCACCAGGCCCGGACACCGGAAGGAUUGACAGAUUGAGAGCUCUUUCUUGAUUCGGUGGGUGGUGGUGCAUGGCCGUUCUUAGUUGGUGGAGCGAUUUGUCUGGUUAAUUCCGAUAACGAACGAGACUCUAGCCUGCUAACUAGGCGUAUUUUCGACAUCUCAAAGGUCCGUCGUCCCGGCCCUCGGGUCGUGGGCGUGCGCGAUUUUUACUGUCGGCGUACUAUCAAUUCUUCUUAGAGGGACAGGUGGCUUCUAGCCGCACGAGAUUGAGCAAUAACAGGUCUGUGAUG